RNAcentral lists this small RNA (137 nucleotides) under unclassified sequences. RNAcentral's name for it is "LOOT RNA". It matches the Rfam family "LOOT RNA". Rfam says of the family: Latescibacteria, OD1/Parcubacteria, OP11, TM7. Lineage (Microgenomates, aka OP11) The record is from Rfam by way of RNAcentral.
AACCUAACCCUACUAAUAUUAAUUUACUAGGUAUGGUUGAAAUUCGCCGAAAAACACAAAAACCCCGUCAUUAGGGUUUUGACGUUUUUCGGCGUUGCUAAGGGAAACCUUAGUAAGAGUAUGCUUCGGUAUAUUUU